This 1466-nucleotide long non-coding RNA is filed under the name Ananas comosus (pineapple). RNAcentral describes it as "long non-coding RNA (ACOM_LNC041225)". The record is from RNAcentral. Lineage: Eukaryota; Viridiplantae; Streptophyta; Magnoliopsida; Poales; Bromeliaceae.
ACAAAAAACUUAAGAUAUUCUACCUAGAUUUAUUGAAUAUUCACUUUAGUACCCUUUAAUUUUAACUUUGUCACUGAUUUAAUAAAAAAAUUAAUAGAAUGGAUAAUAAAAAGAGAAAAAUGAAACCAAAUGGUACUAAGUUGAUACACUUUAAACCACAGAGUACUAAAGUGAGAAAGUGCGAAACCACAGGGGCUAACUUAAUACACUUUAAACCGCAUGAUACUAAGCGAGAAAGUGUGAAACCACAAGGGGGUAUUUGAAGUUUACCCUUUAUUAUUUGAUAAACUUCAAAUACCACUCUUGUAAUUUCGUACUCUUUUAUUUUAGUAUCUUGUGGCUUAUAGUGUAUCAAAUUAGUACUAUGUGGUUUUAUUUUUCUCUUUUCGUCGGUUCUUUUGUUAAUAUUUCGUUAAAUUAUAUACAAUAAUUUCAAAUACCCAACCUAAGUUUAUCGAAUAUUCACUUUAUUAUCUUUAUUUUUAACUUUGUCACUGAUUUAAUGAAAAGAAAUUAGUGAAAUGGAUAAUAAAAAGAGAAAAAAAAAACUAUAGGGUACUAAAUUGAUACACUUUAAACUAUAUAGUACUAAAGUGAGAAAGUACGAAACCACAGGAUGGUAUUUGAAGUUUUUUCUUUACUACAUAGAGUUAAUUUCAUACGUGUUCGUACAAAUAUAGUGAAUUGCAAAUAUAUUCCUACAAAAUUCAACUUUUAUAUAUUGUUCCCGUAAAAGUCCUAAUAUUUUUAAAAAUAUGUCUAUCUGAUUUAUUGCAGUUAAAAUAUUAUUUAUUUUAUAAGUGAAAUGACAUUUUUGCUAUCACAAAUAUAUCCCUCCAAAAGUUCCAGCUAUAAAGAGAGAUAAAAAGGUCAAUUCAUCUUAUUAUAACUUAUGGUUAACUAAAUUUUUCUAAUGGAUUCUAACAACAGAGAUAUAUUUGAAAACAUCAUGAAUUUUGUAAGAACAGCAUAUGAAAAUUGAACUUUGUAGUAAUAUAUUUGUAAUUCAUUAUAUUUAUAGAAACAUGUAUGUACUUAACUCUAUCUUGUGUAUAUUUAUUAUUUAUUACUAUUUAUUACUAUAUAUUAAAGUGCGAGGAAUACUGUACGUUUAUUGAUACAUAUCCCGCCCAUAUACUCGGCGCACCUGGUGCAACGUAAUCCUAUAAAAAAUAUUAUUUUACAUAUCAAAUUUUCUGCCGUUAGAUCAGUUGCCCUUUUGACCAUUUUCACAUGUUAGAUCAUACUUUUCAACCAACGACCCACUCAACUCUGACUAAUAUCAUCCUAACCGUACAUCGCUUCAUAUAUAAUAUAGAUAUUUGAACUAUAACAAACAAAACACGAGCGAUCUGACCCCAAUUACUACCCAAUUACUACUCGACUCGUUAAGAUUUCGAGCUAAAUAAUAUUCGGCUUGUAUUAGGCUCGUUUAUUAACCGAGUGAUCCAUCUCGAACUCAUUUC